Pangasianodon hypophthalmus (striped catfish) is the source of this 5341-nucleotide long non-coding RNA. RefSeq lists it as uncharacterized. The record is from RefSeq and is a predicted model, not a curated record. Lineage: Eukaryota; Metazoa; Chordata; Actinopteri; Siluriformes; Pangasiidae. The transcript is spliced from 4 exons.
CAUAUGCUUCAUACCAAAUAGCAUAAACAUGCCAGUAAAUGAUACGAAAGGAACAUUGGGAGUUAGUAAUAAAUGAUUUAGUUUGGUGUUGGCUUCAGGUUCAGGUAGGGGGUGUGGCCUACAGUUUGAAUAUAUUAGAAUUCGGAUGAUAAUAAUAAACUUCAAAUAUGAUUUAUUAUUUUUAUAUUAAAUGCUUAUGUCUAAAUAGUUUUAAGACAAAUGGCAUCUUUUGAGGUUAAUGUGUGACUAGCCUCAACGUGUGACUAGCUACAUUAGCCUUGUAGCUCCAGUAAUAGCUAAAAAAAAGCAAGCUUCAGACACUAAACAUGCCUUGGUGAGUGACUAUAUUUGGCGUAUUUGACCCAAAUAUUCCUUUAAGACGGUGAACAUGUCUCAUCUGCAUUCUACAGCUCCAUUUUUGACAUAUUGAAUAAUAUUUCAUAUGAUGAUUCCAAGUUCAAAUUCAACUCCAACUGGAGCUUUCAAAGCAAAGCUUAAGUAAAAGCAUUAUAAAACACUUUUAAAAGCAUUUGUGUAGCUCAUUUCAUCAAGUUUUUCCUACUCAACAGAACGAUGACUUUGCUGUCUGAAGUGUUUAAAAGCACCGUUUAUAAAGGAUCAGUCUAAACUCUGUCGAUCGGGUUGGGUUUCAACAGCAUGCUUUAUUUGAAGUGGUGCUACAUAAAUGUCUUAAUCCACUAUUUACUGCGCAGAUUGUACGUGUGACAGCAUCAUGGUGGUUGCAGUGCAUUAUGGGAUCUCUAUUUAUCUGAGAAAUGCAUGUUUGAUUCCACUAUUAGGCAAAUAAUACGCAUAAGAUAUCUGCUUUCAUCUGAAAGUCUCAGCUUGUGUGUGGAAUUGUGCUCAGCAAAUAUUUGUACUUGAUAUAUAAGGGUUCUGUGUAUACUCAGUUUUGGGGAAAAAAAUAAAUAAGAAAUUGUGUAUUUUGCGAAUUUAUUAAUUCAGUAUAUUUUUAUAUCGUAAAAUAUUUACCUAAGAUAAAAAAAGAGGAAAUAGGUUUGCUAACAAACUUCCUUUAGUGAAAAUGUGGUGAUACUGAAAAUAGAAAAACAAAAAUAUAUAAAAUAUAGCUUGUUAAAUGUUAUAAAAAUACAGAAAAAAACAGGAGAUUAUACCAUACACCUGAAAAUAUAGCUGCAAGCAGUGACUGUAAGGGGGCCAAGCACUAAUUUAAGUUUUGUGAAAUGCUGUAAGUGGCCCUUAUUCCUUAUAAGCACCAUAUCUGAACCUUUCUCAUUGUACUGUCUUGAGUGUUUUUUAAGUUUGGAACAAUCAGAAAAACUUGCAGGAGUAACAAUGAAAAUAGAGAUUUUUUUUCCCCCCUUUAAUGACAAUCUGGUUAUAAAAAAUAUAAAAAUGACAGAAAGCUUAGUGCUACAAAGUGUAGCUUGUUGUAGCAAAUGUUUUAAAAACACAUGAAAAUAAAGGAGAUUAUCUACCAGAAAAUCCAGCUAAAUGUAGUGAUCAGUGUCGUGGAAAUCCAUCUAUAAAAAUGUGAGGAGACAGAACUCAGGCAAAAGACGUAUUACUCACGCCCUUCUGCGCCUUUUAGACAAAAGCAAGAUCUAAAAAUGCUAACGAGACUAAAUAGAUGAUAAGUAGAUCAGUCUGGGUUUCUCUGUCCUUCAUAAAUAGAAGUAGAAACAGAAAUGAGAAGUCUGGGUCAUUGUGAUCCCACAGGGUUAAAAGUAGAGUAGCAGGAACAGAACAGCACUCACGGUCCUUGAUUCAAAUAAUAGUUAUAAUCGUGCUUUAUUUAUGACCACUAUGACCAGCACUAUUAUGUACACAUACAUAAAUCAAAUACUGUAUGGACUGUACAGAUAAAAUAUAUACAUACCUGGCAAAGUUCAACAUAACGAUUUAUGUCAUUUGUCUUCAUCAUUAUUUCGCUGUUUUUGUUUCAACAGAAUUUUGCUCCUGUUGUAGCGCCCCCUAGAGGACACUUCCAACACUCCUUGUGAAAGUAUAUUACAAAUUUGGUGACAUCAACUUAGCUACAAUUGAGCUUCAGUAAUUUGAGCUAUAUUGACGUAAAUAUCAGGCUGAUGGAGCAUCGUCUUCUUAGCCUAGAGCACUGAGACUGUCUGAAUGAACAUCCUCUGCCCUUGUUUAACUCCACCAUCUGCCGUUUUUUUUUUUAAAACACAUAAGAGAAGCAGUUUCCCCACUGAAACAGCUAUUUUGCAGAACAGAAAGACAUCUAAUCUAGUGCUAUGUUUAGCUUAGGACCUUGCAAAAUCUUGGUGGAAUAUCAUCAAACAUUCACUUUUCUUACCUGUAACAGUGGAAUGAACCAGAUAUUUAUUGUUGUAGGAAACCCCAGUUAACCUAAAAUUAUUAAAAAGAAAACUGAAACUAGCUAGCUAGUUAGCUAACCACUGUUAGAGGUCCUGAAUAAAAAUUUGAAAUUUUAUAAAUAAUAAAUUAUUCAAGGUCACAAGCUAAUUUAAAUUGAUAAUGUAUGGAGCACUUUUUCUGGUUCUAGCCAACAUGCUAUAGAUGCAUGUGUUAUAGAUGCACUGCAUGAUGCCAUUGCUCGCAUACUGUCACUAUGUUUAAAAUCUAAACACAGCAGUAAUAAUAUAAAAGUUAUGUCCAAGGCUUAAAUUCACUGUGAGCAAAAGCAUGGUCUCUUCUUCAACCUGGCUGCUGGGAUCAUUUUUUUUAAAAAUGAUCAUUUUAUAUGUAGUUAUCUUCAUAAAGAUUGCUCUGCUGAGUUUAUGGAUAAUUACUUAUGAGUCAAAAAAAUAGUUACAGCAAAUUUGAAAGAGCAACUGAAGGAGCGCUCAUUCAUAAUUUCUGUAACUUCUUUUUGAGAGUUAAUACAAUACAAACUUGAGUAAAAAGGAGCAAUGUGAAGACUAAACAGCUCAAAUUUCCUCACCAUAACAGUCUAACAUUGUAUAACACUGAAGAGAUAUGGGGCUCUCCAUGGCCUUGAAAAGACAAGCUUGCUAUGAUUACAGCCUCAUGAGGGAGUUUAACUUGUGCACACAGAGAAAAGGCUCCAUUUAUCUUGCAUGCCCCUGCAACAGCUGGAACAGCAGAGAGAGAUAGCAGGCUGGGUUCAAUUCAGUUCAAUUCAAUUCAAUUUUAUUUGUAUAGCGCUUUUAACAAUGAACAUUGUCUCAAAGCAGCUUUACAGAACAUAAGAAACAAAAAGCAUGCAAACAGAAACAAAAACAUGCAAACAGUCCUAGAUGUUAGACAGAAUUAUUAUUAUCCCUAGUGAGCAAGUCUGAGGCGACUGAGAUGACCGUGGUGAGGAAAAACUCCCUUAGAUGAUAUGAGGAAGAAACCUUGAGAGGAACCAGACUCCAAAGGGAACACAUCCUCAUUUGGGAUAUUGGCAUAUAAAUGACCUUAUAGCUCAGAAAUGUGAUCUAGUGCAACAUGUUGUUCUUUUCCAACCUCGUCUUUCCUGGUCUGCUUGGCCCCAUGGUACAAAUGUAUCCCAGCGACUAGGACAAACCUCCAGUUGUUCCACUUUGGAGCCCCAAAAUUGAAGGUUUGGCAGCACAGACUAGUCACAUGACCAGUCAUGUCCUCAUCUGCUAUGUGGGGUGGAAAAGAACUUUACGAACUCUAAAUAUCAUCAUCCAUGGAAGACACAGGAUAUCACCUCCUCCUCACUACAAACAGGGGAGCAAGUAAAGAAGCAAAUCUCUGUGUGUUUUUGUUUGGUUCUUCCGCAGGGGUGUAGUGGACGCUCGGGGCCAUGAGAGAAGCCUCCUGCACGUUCACAGGAAAGUUUGCCGCACAUCUUUUUUAGAUCUAGUUAGAUCUUAGCCUCUAACUGACCAUCACAAAUCUCUGAGGGGAAAAAAAAAACAUGAUUAUUUUGAACUGACUGAACGGCAAACCGACCAAUCACAGUUAAGCUUCAGGAGACUGAAUCAGAACAAAUGCAUGACAAGAAGUUAUCAUUUUAAGGGAGUGAAUUUGCUAAAUUAGCUUGCAGACUGGACUUGACAAGAUGAUAUGAACAUGUAGAAUUUGAUUAUUUUCAGGUAUAAAUUGAUUUUACCUCGGGAUGGCUUAUAUCACGCCUCAAUACACUGAUUGCUACAAGCUUAACUGCACUGUAAGGCAGCUCCUUUAUUAGCUAGAGUUAAUAAAUGACAAUAUUGAACCUAUGAAUGUACUUAUGUAUUCUCAUUACUUUUUUGUCAGCAGAUCCCAGCCAUGGACUUCAGGAAGAAGCAAAGGAUGAUUACGUAUUUCUUAUAAACAGCCUACUAAGCAGAACUGUCCACGCCGUCAACUGGUCAAAGUGUAAAACUGUAGAAUAGGUGAAAUAUAUUCAAGCCCUUUGGGAUUUGGGAUUCUCCCUGCUUGUGGAUGUCACGGCUGUUGUGAUCUUUUUUUGUGCUUUCUUGCACUCAUUUAAUUUCAACAUCAUGCGAGGAAGAGGAGAGAAACUAGACCCCAGCCAAGGCUGGCCUCUAGCUCUGGUACAGCCAACUAUCAUGGAGUUUCAGCUGUGUAUUCCAUACAUGGAAGAAGAAUUUGGAAAGAGGCUAUGAUGUUGCAUAACACUUAUAAUGACUAUAAGAGAAGAAUCUGUCCUGUGGCUCCUUGGAGUGCAUGUUCUGGAGCUGCAGACCCUGGCUGACUGUGAUAAUAAAGAACUUGAACUCAAGUGUUGGUCCAUGUUCUCUGUGUUGGCAUGUUCAUCACAAAAGGUGAAACCCAAAAGGGUUGGCAAUGAUCAGCCGUUGAUUUUGACAGGUAUAGUUCUAAAAGUAAAAAAAAAGCAUUAACAGCAAAAAUGGCUUGAAAAUAAAGUAAAUAUUUAAACUAGUCAAGUGAAGUCUCUUAGCUCAGGUAUAGAUGCCUUUUUAAGUUGCCUUAAUCGAAACACAGACUGAUGCAUUUCCGUGCUUACACAUUGCACUAUGGUUUCCUGUUGGUUCACCAAAAAGAACAAAUAAGUAUUUAGGUCAGUUGAAUCCAUUUGCAUUGUCUCAUUUAUUUACUGAAAUGGACGUAAAUCCGUCGAAUCUCUAACUAGAUUUAAAUGGGUAUUUUCUGAAUUGGGAAAAAUGUUUUGAUCUAUGACAUUUGGUGACCCCAUGACCAGAGCUGAGGGAACAUAGGUCUCUGGGUUAUUACUGUAUUUGUCUUGAACAAUUCACAGAAGUGUGUCAUAAAAUUUGACUAAAUCAAAUAACAAAGUGCAAGAGAAUAUAAGCCUUAAACUACAAACACGUUAGAUUGUUCAUACAAAAUGAUGUAUGACUGCUUCUUAAGUUAUUACGACUGUCAUGAUGCUACCACCACCAUGCUUCAGUCACUGUGGGGAUGGUGUUCUCAG